ACGGGAGGCAGCAGUGGGGAAUAUUGCACAAUGGGGGAAACUCUGAUGCAGCAACGCCGCGUGAGGGAAGAAGGUCUUCGGAUUGUAAACCUCUGUUUUUAGUGACGAAACAAAUGACGGUAGCUAAAGAGGAAGCCACAGCUAACUACGUGCCAGCAGCCGCGGUAAUACGUAGGUGGCAAGCGUUGUCCGGAUUUACUGGGUGUAAAGGGUGCGCAGGCGGGACUGCAAGUUGGAUGUGAAAUGCUGAGGCUUAACCUCAGAACUACAUCCAAAACUGUAGUUCUUGAGUGGAGUAGAGGUAAGCGGAAUUCCGAGUGUAGCGGUGACAUGCGUAGAUAUUCGGAGGAACACCAGUGGCGAAGGCGGCUUACUGGGCUCUAACUGACGCUGAGGCACGAAAGUGUGGGUAGCAAACAGGAUUGGAUACCCUGGUA
RNAcentral lists this ribosomal RNA (437 nucleotides) under uncultured Clostridiales Family IV bacterium. RNAcentral describes it as "bacterial SSU rRNA". It matches the Rfam family "Bacterial small subunit ribosomal RNA", at positions 341 to 792 of the family's 1533-position model. The record is from RNAcentral. Lineage: Bacteria; Bacillati; Bacillota; Clostridia; Eubacteriales; Eubacteriales Family IV. Incertae Sedis.